This is a long non-coding RNA of Gasterosteus aculeatus aculeatus (three-spined stickleback), 588 nucleotides long. NCBI's taxonomy places the organism in Eukaryota, Metazoa, Chordata, Actinopteri, Perciformes, Gasterosteidae. The record is from Ensembl.
CAGCCGGAAGAAGAGCAGCGAGUCCUGCUGGGCUUCACUGACGAACAGCCCAGCGCGGGAUUUCCCGGACGCCAGGCCUAAUUCUAGGAACCGCUUUUUACCUGCGGUCGCCGCACAUCAUACCAAGAAUUUGUCAUUUUUUUCACUAUCUCCUGACACCUUGUCCUCCCCCACCCAGCCUGCCCCACCCCUCUCCCUCAGUACUCAAGAGAUUACUGGCAGCCCACGAUGCUGAAUUGGGAGUGUGGAGAGCAGGUCCAGACCCGUUGGUGCUCAUGUUACCAAUGGUUCCGCUGAAAAGCUCAGGAAUUUUUUCUCUCGCAAGUCAACACCUGCUUGUUGAGGAAAUUUCUCACCGAUGGCAGACUCCCGGGCCGGUUUGGCUUUAUCGCCUUCACUACAAGAUGUCAUGCAGGCGAAGGGAAGAAACUCAAACCCUCUUCAAAGUGAAAACUACAAAGGCAAAUGAUCAUAAACCAUGUGUGGACAAAUCUCACCGUCUAAACAGCUACCAUGUCCCCGGAUAAAUAAUAGAGGAGAGGAUCUGAGGACUGAAAAGUCAACAUUGGCCAUGAAGACACCCAGAGG